GUGAGGAAUAUUGGACAAUGGGCGCAAGCCUGAUCCAGCCAUGCCGCGUGCAGGAAGACGCAUCUAUGGUGUGUAAACUGCUUUUGUACGGGAAGAAACACUCCCUCGUGAGGGAGCUUGACGGUACCGUAAGAAUAAGGAUCGGCUAACUCCGUGCCAGCAGCCGCGGUAAUACGGAGGAUCCAAGCGUUAUCCGUAAUCAUUGGGUUUAAAGGGUCCGUAGGCGGUUUAAUAAGUCAGUGGUGAAAGCCCAUCGCUCAACGAUGGAACGGCCAUUGAUACUGUUAGACUUGAAUUACAAGGAAGUAACUAGAAUAUGUAGUGUAGCGGUGAAAUGCUUAGAUAUUACAUGGAAUACCAAUUGCGAAGGCAGGUUACUACUUGUGGAUUGACGCUGAUGGACGAAAGCGUGGGGAGCGAACAGGAUUAGAUACCCGUGUAGUCC
Molecule: ribosomal RNA, 445 nt
Filed under: uncultured bacterium
Lineage: Bacteria
Description: partial 16S ribosomal RNA
Rfam family: Bacterial small subunit ribosomal RNA
Source: RNAcentral